GACGAACGCUGGCGGCGUGCUUAACACAUGCCAGUCGAACGCUGAAGCUCAGCUUUUGUUGGGUGGAUGAGUGGCGAACGGGUGAGUAACACGUGAGUAACCUGCCCCCUUCUUUGGGAUAACGCCCGGAAACGGGUGCUAAUACUGGAUAUUCACUGGUCUUCGCAUGGGGGUUGGUGGAAAGGGUUUUUCUGGUGGGGGAUGGGCUCGCGGCCUAUCAGCUUGUUGGUGGGGUGAUGGCCUACCAAGGCUUUGACGGGUAGCCGGCCUGAGAGGGUGACCGGUCACAUUGGGACUGAGAUACGGCCCAGACUCCUACGGGAGGCAGCAGUGGGGAAUAUUGCACAAUGGGCGCAAGCCUGAUGCAGCGACGCCGCGUGAGGGAUGGAGGCCUUCGGGUUGUGAACCUCUUUCGCUCAUGGUCAAGCCGCAACAAUGGUUGUGGUGAGGGUAGUGGGUAAAGAAGCGCCGGCUAGCUACGUG
This 483-nucleotide ribosomal RNA is filed under the name uncultured bacterium. RNAcentral describes it as "partial 16S ribosomal RNA". It matches the Rfam family "Bacterial small subunit ribosomal RNA", at positions 28 to 507 of the family's 1533-position model. The record is from RNAcentral.